AAGCUUCAUUCUGUGGCAGAUGAUCAAAACUGUCUGACACAAUUUUAGCUUGCUAUAGCAACAGAGUCUAACCUAUUUCAGUGUUCUCUCCUAUGAGACAAGAAGGAGAAGGAGAAGGAGAAG
Small nucleolar RNA from Myotis myotis, 123 nucleotides. RefSeq annotates it as small nucleolar RNA SNORA28. NCBI's taxonomy places the organism in Eukaryota, Metazoa, Chordata, Mammalia, Chiroptera, Vespertilionidae. The record is from RefSeq and is a predicted model, not a curated record. The transcript has a single exon.